GCUUGCUUGGAAUUUUAGAUGCUUCAUUUUUACUUUUUUUAUUACAUCCCAUCAAGAUGUUGCCACUGACUAGAUGUAGGGAAAGAUCGGUGUAUUUUUGACCUGCUGGCACUGAUGCUGCUGUUAACCCAGUAAGCUAAUGUCAUCCCUUCUUGAGCAUUAGCACGAUUUAACCACAUGAGGUCACUGUUGCGAAAGACACGACAGGGAUGGCAGAAAGCGGUAAACUGUCACUGGAAAUCAUACUGAAAUGCUGACGAGACGAUUACAGAGUUUGACAGCCGAGAAUCGAUGGCAGUGGGAGAGUUUUGGGGCAGAUUUACACGGCUGUGAAAGCUCUGAGAGAUGGGAAAAUGGUUCUUCUCGCAGUUAUUAUUUUUCAUGGUUGUGCACGAUGAAAACUUACAACAGAUCAACCCACCUGCUACAGAAGCUCAUUUACAUCGCAUUAUUUCCAGUUAUAGAGGCACAAAAAGUCGACGUCUUGCCCGAAGUGGCUGGAUACCUCCAGGAUGAUGUCACUUUGCCGUGCCAGUUCAUCCAAGGAGCAGAAGACGGCAACGUUACUCAGUUUCAGUGGGAUCUCCUGCAACCAAAAGGAGAAGAUAUCACCCUUGCCGUUUCAAAUAGCCAGCAUGGACUGAAUAUUCCUGAUUCGCCUCUGAAGGGGAGAAUGACGAUUGCAGAACAGUCAUUGACAAUUAAAAAUGUGGAAAUGACAGAUGCAGGGUCUUACACCUGCCGCAUAUCCACUUUUCCCAGUGGUUCAUUUGAAGGAAUUACCAAACUUGUUGUUCGAGAACAGAAGCCGUUAUCAACCGAGGUGAUUUCUGCUGUAGUGAUUUCUGUCGUGCUGCUGUUGGUGAUCGUGGUGACCGUGGUUUACAUCAUUUUCAUCAGAAGACAGUAUGUGUGUGUGAUUUCAUGUUGUUACAAUUUUGAGGACCCAUCUCUGUUUUGGUGACAUCAAGCAGGUCCUCACAGUGCAUCACUAAAUUUUAGGUUGAAGACUUGUUUUAUCAUUAAGGUCAGAGCUAGGUUGCUAUGGCAAACUUAGCUCUCUCUGUAGCUAUUCUAUUUUAGUAGUUUUGUGGCAUUUCACAAAGUAGA
Molecule: long non-coding RNA, 1110 nt
Organism: Acanthochromis polyacanthus (spiny chromis)
Lineage: Eukaryota; Metazoa; Chordata; Actinopteri; Pomacentridae
Exons: 4
Source: RefSeq, a predicted model, not a curated record